Molecule: long non-coding RNA, 873 nt
Organism: Lotus japonicus
Lineage: Eukaryota; Viridiplantae; Streptophyta; Magnoliopsida; Fabales; Fabaceae
Exons: 3
Source: RefSeq, a predicted model, not a curated record
UAUUUAAUUUGGCAUUUCUUAAACUUCUUUUUAUCAGGUACUUCAAGUAGUUUCCAUAUCCUGAUGAAAAGCAUAUAAAAAGAUUUGGGCUAUGAGCUAGGUUCAAUCAUUUGCAAGUCAAGUUUUGGUUUCAAAAGAGAGUAUGUAAUGUACUGUGUGGAAUUUGUGAGCGUUUGUGGAUAAUUUAUAGAAAAACGGUGGUGACAGUGGUAGAGAAAUCUGAAAGAGAUUUUAAUGUAAAUGGAGCAUGAAAUUCUAUUUAAUGGCUUGAGUGGUGGCAGUAGCCAUGUCCCUUGCAAUAAUUAAUGAAACAUAUAUAUACUUGUUUUUAUAUUCAGGUUCAGGGAAUGGGACAUUGGGCUGGGAUUUGAGGGUUCAUAUAGUUCUUUAGGUGUAGCAAGAGACAUUGAGUAUCUUCAUGAUGGGGAAGUUCCUCCUGUAAUCCAUCGAGAUAUCAAAUCUUCCAAUAUUCUUUUAGAUCAGUCCAUAUGAGCUGGUAAGCUCUCUCCCUCUACUAGCCUUACUAAAGAUAUUGGAUUUGAUAAUAUUUUAUUUGGGUGAUAUUUCACAUGGAGUGGUAUCUCAUUAAUUACAAGGGACAAGCAAGAUCUGUUGGAAAGGAAGAUAUCAGAGCAAUUACAAGGGACGCUCUUCGGUUUUGGGUGGAUGAGAGUAUGAAUGCAACAACCACCAAGGCCAACCACAAAUCAAGAGGAGUCAGAGACUUGGGAGGAUCUUGAAGAAUUAUUAAAACUUUGCCACACUUUGUUUCUAUGUUUAAUGUAAUAGACUAUUUUGCAACUACUAGACUAGUUUAAGUAGUGCAUGGUAUACUUUUUGUGAUGAUUCGGUGAUGAAGGUGGAUAUAUUAAA